Fragaria vesca subsp. vesca is the source of this 387-nucleotide RNA transcript. RefSeq lists it as uncharacterized. Lineage: Eukaryota; Viridiplantae; Streptophyta; Magnoliopsida; Rosales; Rosaceae. The transcript has 4 exons. The record is from RefSeq and is a predicted model, not a curated record.
AAACAUACUUCUGGCUUCCUUUUUAUCACUGGAGGUAAUUCAGCAAAGAAGGACAUCAUCAUUGCUGGAUUCCUUAUCUAUUUUAACAAAGAAGACAAUUUGCAGAGUAGUAAAUGUGAAUACAGUUGAAUAGAUACACAAUUAGCCAAAAGUUUUAAAGUAAAUAUGCAAUUAGCCAAAAGUUUCUGUAAGUUUGACUUCAUUUGGUAUCUGCAAGUGAAAACCAAAGAUGGGGUUUGGGAGGAGGGUUGAGGAGGGGUGGUGGGUUUGGGAGAUGUCGGUCUGUCCACCCUCAGAUCGAUCACUGAAGAUGAUGUGCAUGCUAAGAUUUUGAUUGAUCAUCUCCAAGGUGCUCAAUGUCAAUCGAAAUCAGAAACAAUUGAAUGG